AACGAACGCUGGCGGCAGGCUUAACACAUGCAAGUCGAACGGUCCGCAAGGAUAGUGGCAAACGGGUGAGUAAUACAUGGGAAUGUACCUUUUAGUUCGGGAUAACAGCGGGAAACUGCUGCUAAUACCGGAUGCGCUCUACGGAGGAAAGAUUUAUCGCUGAAAGAUCAGCCCAUGCCAGAUUAGCUAGUUGGUGAGGUAAUGGCUCACCAAGGCAGUGAUCUGUAGCGGGUCUGAGAGGAUGAUCCGCCACACUGGGACUGCGAUACGGCCCAGACUCCUACGGGAGGCAGCAGUGAGGAAUAUUGGACAAUGGAGGCAACUCUGAUCCAGCCAUGCCGCGUGAAUGAUGAAGGCCUUAGGGUUGUAAAGUUCUUUAAGUGGGGAAGAUAAUGACGGUACCCACAGAAUAAGCACCGGCUAACUUCGUGCCAGCCGCCGCCGUAA
RNAcentral lists this ribosomal RNA (447 nucleotides) under uncultured bacterium. Its description in RNAcentral is "partial 16S ribosomal RNA". It matches the Rfam family "Bacterial small subunit ribosomal RNA", at positions 29 to 523 of the family's 1533-position model. The record is from RNAcentral.